Long non-coding RNA from Lathyrus oleraceus (garden pea), 1662 nucleotides. RefSeq lists it as uncharacterized. The transcript is spliced from 2 exons. The record is from RefSeq and is a predicted model, not a curated record. Lineage: Eukaryota; Viridiplantae; Streptophyta; Magnoliopsida; Fabales; Fabaceae.
GUUCAAUGCCCAGAUCUGCAGCGAACCGGAAGUCUUUGAAGAAGUAUUCCGCUAUAUGUUUUUGUGAACCAAAAGGCUUACUCUCAGUGUUCCAGUUUAUAAUGUCAAAAAUGCUCUUUCGGAAGUCUUCAGGCUCAAAUGAAAAAAAAUUCCAUUUCUCAAAAAUAUAUCCUAUAUAUAUGAGGGUAUUUUGGUCCAAAAAAUUUAAUUGUAGGGGUAUGGGUACAAUUGUAGGGGUACCAACUUUCGCUGCAAAAACUUUCGCUGCAAAAUAAAUAGGUUGAAGCUCAAAAGGCAUAGAACCAAUGCGGAUAUCUCCUUCUCUCCCUCAUCUCACAGUCUUAUAUUUCACAAUUCCCUCUGCCGCAUCGAAGCUUCCGACGACGGAGAAACUUCUAAUCCCUAAUCAAGAAUAACAUCCACCUCAAUCUGAUGCCUAAUCCGAAACUACUGAUAUACUAAAUUUGUUCAAACGCGAGCUGUGAAAUCGAAAUCAAAGAACGUCGAGCCCUAUCUAUGAGGUUCGGAAAUAAAACGAAAAUGGAGGGGAAUCGAGCCACUCCACCGCGGGGCUUUGAUUCCCCUCAUUGAAGGCUACACGAUGGUGGGAAGUUCAGAGCAAGAUGGAAGAAAAAGAGGAGAAUCACCAAACUGUAAUAAGACCGAGAUUUUUCUUGGAUUUUGUUGCCACUGAAGAUGAAGUUUGCGUCGAGAACAGCAGAGAAUCGAACCGGAUUCGCUGCUAAAAUACAGGAUGCUCUGUGUUUAUAAUACUGUCGAACUCGUAUCCAUGCAGAAGAGCUUCGGUGAGGAAGGUCCUUGGAGAUGUAGCCCAAACAGUCAAGUAAAGCAGCACAAAAUUCGAACCUGUUAAACUCUUCCCUGUUACAGAUGUGAGAAGAAACCUCCAACAAUGAAUGUAGGAGAAAUCCAAGUACGCCGGGUCAAAACACUUCCUCCACACUGGCCAAUACAAAACAACUAUGGUUGCAAGUGUGAAUGACUUUACUGAGUUAAUUUCUUUCUGUUAGUUAUGUUAGAUUGCUAUUUAAGAUGGUUAGUUAGUUGUGUAGUGUUGGUUCUGUUAGUGCGAAGAAUUGGUUAACCAAAGUGGAUCUAGUUGUUACGGUUUGAGGUGGAUUGGUAGAUGUUUGGUUAAUUUAUGUCAUGAGAAAUUUGGCCUUGUUCUGUUAUGUGAAUUGAUCAGUUGGAACUGAAGUUGCAGGUGAUGUUCUUUGUACUGCUGCUACGGUGGUGGACACUUUCUUUUCUUCUUCUCAUAGAUAAUACCUCUUGCUUUGGAUUGAAGAUCAUGGUGCACUAUUUGAAUCCCACACCUGUGGCAAACAACAAGAGAGUUCAUUCAGAACAAUCCAUUCCUAUGAUACAAGCAAUGAAGAACUAUAUUGUCAAACACGGCUUGCAAUAUAAGUGAGUGCAUUGGACUGAUUUAGGUGUAAUUGUAUAUGAAUUGCUUGAAAAUGUAAACUGGACAAUUAGUAAUUAAUGUACGGUUGGAGAUGAAAUGUAGUGGUUUAUGUACAAUUGGCAAUGCAUUAUGAAACACUUUUAUAUUAUGAUUUUGUGGACAUGUAGAACAAGAUAGUGUAACGGUUUAUUAUUGAAAUGAAAUCAAAUUGGAUUUGUCAUGUUUUGGAAGUA